RNAcentral lists this unclassified non-coding RNA (358 nucleotides) under Bursera penicillata. Its description in RNAcentral is "partial external transcribed spacer". Lineage: Eukaryota; Viridiplantae; Streptophyta; Magnoliopsida; Sapindales; Burseraceae. The record is from RNAcentral.
AGCAUAUGACUACUGGCAGGAUCAACCAGGUAGCAUUCCUUCGCGACACCGACGCCCGCAUGAGACCCGGCAGGCCGUAAGGCCGCGGGCUCAAGACGGGCACGGCAGUCGUUCGUGUCGAUGGACAAAUGCGUUGCUUGGGCAAACGGAGCUAAUAAAUAGACCCCGCACCCGCACAUAACAUUCUGCAUCCGAGAGCACGGGCAAUGCACCUCAUGGGCCGAGGCAGCGACGCAGCUGGGCGAAGCGUGCCGGGAACACGAGGCUUGCCUGAUGUCCACCCCAAAACCCGUGAGGGCAGGGAGCGGAAAGGGACUAACGAAACCAUCGGAUUCCUUUCGAUAGGUAAGCAACACAG